This 641-nucleotide ribosomal RNA is filed under the name uncultured bacterium. RNAcentral describes it as "bacterial SSU rRNA". It matches the Rfam family "Bacterial small subunit ribosomal RNA", at positions 1 to 657 of the family's 1533-position model. The record is from RNAcentral.
AGGAGAGUUUGAUCCUGGCUCAGAGUGAACGCUGGCGGCGUGCUUAACACAUGCAAGUCGAACGAGAACGGGCUAUAGCUUGCUAUAGUUGUCAGCUAAGUGGCGCACGGGUGAGUAAUAUAUAGGUAAUGUGCCCUAGAGAGGGGGAUAACAUUUGGAAACGAAUGCUAACACCCCAUAUGCCCUUAAGACAUAAGUCUGCAGGGGAAAUAUUUAUAGCUCUAGGAUCGGCCUGUACGGUAUCAGCUUGUUGGUGAGGUAAUGGCUCACCAAGGCUAUGACGCCUAACUGGUUUGAGAGGAUGAUCAGUCACACUGGAACUGAGACACGGUCCAGACUCCUACGGGAGGCAGCAGUGGGGAAUAUUGCACAAUGGGGGAAACCCUGAUGCAGCAACGCCGCGUGGAGGAUGACACAUUUCGGUGCGUAAACUCCUUUUAUAUAGGAAGAUAAUGACGGUACUAUAUGAAUAAGCGCCGGCUAACUCCGUGCCAGCAGCCGCGGUAAUACGGAGGGCGCAAGCGUUACUCGGAAUCACUGGGCGUAAAGAGCGUGUAGGCGGGUUAAUAAGUUUGAAGUGAAAUCCUAUGGCUCAACCAUAGAACUGCUUUGAAAACUGUUAACCUAGAAUAUGGGAGAGG